GACGAACGCUGGCGGCGUGCUUAACACAUGCAAGUCGAACGGAAAGGCCCUGCUUUUGUGGGGUGCUCGAGUGGCGAACGGGUGAGUAACACGUGAGUAACCUGCCCUUGACUUUGGGAUAACUUCAGGAAACUGGGGCUACUACCGUAUAGGAGCUCCUGCUGCAUGGUGGGGGUUGGAAAGUUUAGGCGGUUGGGGAUGGAUUCGCGGCUUAUCAGCUUGUUGGUGGGGGAGUGGCUUACCAAGGCUUUGACGGGUAGCCGGCCUGGGAGGGUAACCGGCGACAUUGGGACUGAGAGACGGACCAGACUCCUACGGGAGGCAGCAGUGGGGAAUAUUACACAAUGGGCGGAAGCCUGAGGCAGAAACGCCGCGUGCGGGAUGACGGCCUGCGGGUUGUAAACCGCUGUCGCCUGUGACGAAGCGGGAGUGACGGUAAUGGGUAAAGAAGCACCGGCUAACUACGUG
Molecule: ribosomal RNA, 468 nt
Filed under: uncultured bacterium
Lineage: Bacteria
Description: partial 16S ribosomal RNA
Rfam family: Bacterial small subunit ribosomal RNA
Source: RNAcentral